This is a long non-coding RNA of Diceros bicornis minor, 9267 nucleotides long. RefSeq lists it as uncharacterized. The transcript has 3 exons. NCBI's taxonomy places the organism in Eukaryota, Metazoa, Chordata, Mammalia, Perissodactyla, Rhinocerotidae. The record is from RefSeq and is a predicted model, not a curated record.
UGGAACCUGUAUAAGUGGUACAGAGAAUCAAAGAGGAGGGUCACUGCUCCUCCUCCUGGAAUGCAGGGCAAUAUGGCUCUCUUCUCAAGCUCUAACAGCUCCCAUCCGUGCCAGGACAAAGCCACAGUUAAUUGUCUGCAAGGUAAAGGACUCCUAUUUUCAUGCCCAGCUCAGCCAUGCACUGUGUCUCCUUGAAGCUCAUCCAGAUCUCAUGCAAACAGAAUUCCUUGCAGCCUUCUGGACAGGCCCUGACAGGCCUGAACUCACACACAAUAGAUUGUCAGCUCCAUGAGAACCGGGAUUUGUCUGCUUUGUUCCCUGCUGGAUCACCAGGACCUACAGUGGGCCUGAUACGUAGUAGGUACUCACUAAUAAUGGCUGAAUGAAGCAAGGAAGCAGUUCCACCACAACAUUGCCUUUUUCUUCCCUAUAACCUCCCCCGCCAUCUGACCUGCACAGCCAUGAAUGCCCCAAGCACCCUCCUCUGACUCCAGCCAAUGGUUGCCAGCCACAGCACCUACUUGUCCGACUCUCAAUAGUUCCUGGGUCACAAUCCCAAGAGGCAAAACCAGAUUGGCCCAGCUCUCUGUUUGUGGGCCGUGUCACAGGAUUCUGGCAAGUCUGUGAAUUAACCUCCCUGGGGUCCGCUGGCCCCCAGUGGUCAUGUGGUACAAAUGUGGGCACCCAUUAGGGGCAGUAGAUGGGGCGUUUCCCUUAGGAAGGGGUGUGGGUGAUUGACAUCCCUCUUUCACCAUGCAAACUAUUUGUUAGCAAAUUUGAUGAGAUUAGGCUAUGUUUCUUUUUAAGGGGGUGGGUAACUCUCCCAGGCAGCCUCUGAUUGUUCCAGCCGUCCUUGGCGUUAUUGUGCAUUCCAUAGAGAAGAUAUUUCUUGCCAGGCUCCACCUGUGAGCAAAGAAAUAAUGCACAGGCAACAGCUUGCCUCAGUUCAAUAUCUUUCUUCCACCACUUUCAAGGUUGUCAAUCAGCAAAGCCCUUCGGGCAUCGGACACUCUCCAAUUAUGCCUUCAAUAAAAGCCAGGGGGUGUUGCCAGCUGUGAUGACAAGUUGGGAACCUGAAGGACUGGUAACAUGCUAGCACCCUGGCAACCACAACUAGCAUUGCUUCGCAAAUGUUCCGUUCCAACAAUGUUUCCAGUCUACCUGCCAAAGGGGUGUGGCUUCCUCUUUGGCCACCUCCUGCGUAAACCAUGUGCAGGGGGCAAGGGCAGAUCCAGAAGAAAACAUGACCACAUCAAAGCAUAUCCGGGGCUGGCGCAUUCUUUUUAGUAAAGACUGUUUAUUUUCAAAGGCGCUGGGUGCCCCUGAUAGCUCUGCUCCACCUGGCUGCCACUUAUGAUGCUUUUUAAGGCCACCUUGUUUUCCAAGUCAUUUUAUAAGGUUAUGGAGACUCAGGAGCUGUGAGUCCCAAUUCAGAUUCAAAAUUUUAAAUUGAAGUAUUUCCUCCAGCGGCUGUUGGAUAUUUUAGCAAUGAGUAUUGACUGAGACCUCACAUGGGCUCAUCCUUUUCUAGAUUCUUUCAAGAGUAGGACUGAUAUUCAUCUAGUGCUGUCUGGUAUAGCCAUCCUGCAGUUCAAGUACUGAAAUACUUUCAUGCCACUUGGUAAAUAGCCAAUGCCCCAAGCAGCCCCACUCUGAAGUCUCCCACCGUCUUGUUACCCCUGCCCCUGCCCCCAUAAGACAAUAACCACAACCCUGCUCAGAACAAGCCUAAUGUGUUUUCUUUAGCUUGCAGGAAACCACAAAGAAAGGAAGGAGAAGAUGGCUGAACAAAACCAGUCAAAACUGGUUGAAGGCAACAUGGCGGUCUGACUUGACCUAAUAUAGAGCCAACAGCUCAAAAUAUGUUCACUGUAAUACAUUACCAUGCUACAUAACACACCCACUGGUGCCUUGACAGUUUACAACUGCCAUGGCAAAGGCAGGAUAUAACCAAAUAAGGAGAGAAAAGAGGUGGCACCCGAUUUCCCUGAAAAGCCUGUCCACUUCCCCAAACAAUUGUGAAUAUUCCUCCCCUUCAUUACCCUGACCCCUUAUAACAGCUGCUUAAUCACCCCAGGAGCUGAGAAGUUGGUAAGCGAACUUUGUUCCCACUCCUCCAUUCUUUGGCCGUUGAGUAAAGCUUGUGCUGUUGAACACUCAGCUUUGGUCUCAUUUCAAAGUUGCAACACUGAACAGAGGAAGAACCGCAGGAGGAAGAACAAGAGACCCUUCCUCAAGCCUCUCCCCAGUUGGAGAGACUUGUGCUACAUGAGUUGUUAAAUAUUUUGAAUAUGACUCCCACUUCUAAGUUAAAAACAACAACCACCACCCCUAAUUUUAGACACUUUCAUCCUUGCUAAUUUAUAGAGACAGAUGCAGUGGGAUUGGGAUUGGACCAAGGUCCUAAUCCCAUACAGAGGCAGGACAGCCCGAAACAGAAUUAGUCAUUCAAGCUGUGAUGCUAUAAGCAUUUUCCUCCAUUUUGGACAUCUCUUCACCAGAAUGAUACCCACGAGGAUAGGAAUUUUCAUCUGGUUUGUGCACUGCUGUGUUCCAGAACCCAGAACAGUGCUUGGCACACAGGAAGUGCUCAAUAAAUCAAUACAGCUCUUGAAGGAAGCCAGGAAUUCCCUGAUCUGAUAGCCCGGUUGUUGCCUACCUUGACAAGAAUUUAAAGCUUUUCAAGACUUCUCAGUUUUGACAUUUUUUCUUAAUUUUUCAGUCUCUUCACACAUCAAGGCACGGAGGCAAGCAUCUCCAUCACGCAGGCCGCUGCUGAUGUCUCCACAUACACAGCAAUGUGAUGUUUGUAGGAGCGCUCCUCUGUGAUCUGUAAGGCAUUCCAGUUUCUCCAAGAGACUUUGAUUUUCAUUUCUAGAAAAUUAGCCUCAUACACGACAUCAUUUUGGCCAAUGCAGCAGAAGCUGCUCCAGGAUGUCAGCCAGCGCAGGUGAAACAUAGAGAAGAGAGCAGCACUCUGCAAUCACAGCUCUGUCACAGCCGUGUCAUUUAUGGCCUCCUGUCUCAAAGUGCUCCAGGGCAGCGGAAUGGGCUUGGGGGCCAGGAGGAAGUGGUGCUGGCAGCAGGAAUUUGAGACCCGGAAUCAGCAAGUUCACAUUCUCUGGCCUCCCAGAGACAGGCUGCUCUGGAGAGAGGAAAAGUGCCAGGUUUCGUUCACCAAGCAUCGCUUAUCCGCUACCUGCCGCCCAGCUGUGCUCACCUGGGAUGUGUUUUCUGUCAGCAAGGUCUCUGCAGGAUUUGAAUGGUUAAGGAGAGAAGUCUCUGAAGGAAAACUUGUAAUGUGUGACGUUUGAAGAUCAGCUUCCUUCACUGUUUACAAAACUAUAGGGAGAAGCAUCAGCCCAUGAACACACAUUCCAUACAAAUCCACAUUUGCUCCUUGACUUUAGUUUGGGGACCAUUGCGUCUUCUGACACCCAUUCUACAAUGAGAUCCAUUCUCCACAGGGCCUAUGUUCUAACAUGGAUUCUCUGUCUACUUCAAUUCUAAUCACAACACAGAUGGCAUGCUUCCCUGCAAGUGACACGACCUACCAUGCAUCACAAUUACACUUUGUUUUUAACCCUUUCAUCCCUGCGUUGCCACGCAGUUUGCAAACUUUAAUUAAUACCCCCUCACAAAGUAGAAAGUAUUAUUAUCCUUCUGUUAAGGUUUGAGAAACCGAGUCACCCUAAGGCUGUGACCCACAGGCCCCAGGCUGAGUCAGUGUGAGAGAGAGAGUUGGAAUUCCUGACUACCAGCUACCUGGCCACGGGCUUGGCCUUACACCAGCUGCCAGGCAUUUUUUAUUUCAGCCCAGAACCAGUCGGAUGCCUUCUCUCAGGUCUCAUUCUCAUUCCACAGCUAACAAGGAUGUUGUGGCCCAGGAGAGGCAGAGAAGGGGAGAGAGGAGGGUUGGACACACAUCAGAGAGCAUCGAGGACCUUAGACGUGGUCAGGAAUGUGGGCCUGACCUGGGAGUUUUCUCUCAUGAACGUUAGAACACAAAGCCCCAUCUCAUUCCCUGAGCCUUCCAUAUGCCUCUCGCCAUUCUCAGGGCACGCUUAGUCCAUGCCCCCCAGAGCCUCCAUUCUUACUUACAUCAUUACCUCAAUUACCCCCAGCAUGCUCUGUCCUGCUGGCAGUCCUUGCUCUGAGCAAGACUUUGAGCCGUGUCCCUCCCAGAACCUAGAGAAAGUUCUCACACUAUUCAUCUUCAUUCUCAGCAACAGAGACAUUAGAGGAAGUUACCCUACUGAUGUGGCAAGGCUGAUGAUUUCUUUCUCCCCCAUCCCCUACUCCCACAGACAUCCACAGUACUGUUCUCCUCCUAACCCUAUCCAGCCAGCUCUCUUCAAAAUGACCUUUUUAUAUUUAAUUGUUCUAAGUGACUAAAUGAAUGGUUUCAGCCUUCAUCCUUUUCUUCCUGUCACCCUACUUGUGAUCAGUCCCUUCCCUUUCCUUUCUCCCUUACAUGAUGCACGCCUUGCCUCCUUCUGCAAACCCCAGACCCACACACCUUUGCCUAGAAGGCCUGGCCCUCCAGCUCGCCUUCUGUAUAUGGAAUCUCUCUAGCGCUCUCUAGAAAAGGAAGGCAGGAUUGACUCCAUUGGGAACCAGCUCUCGGGGCAUGGGAGAUUACAUCGUGCGGGGAAGACACAGGGAUGUCUGGGAACGUGUCUUGAUUGGGAGCAGGGUUCCCAGAUGUUGCAAACAACGACAUUCUUUUCCUGAAGGAGGAGAAACACAAGGCAGUAGAGUCCUGACAAGUUUUCAUUCAUUAAGAGUCAGAGCGGUGCAGUGGCUAAGAGAAUGGGCUAUGGCGCCCGACUGCCUAAGAGCAAAUCCUGGCUCCACACUUGCUGGCUGUAUGACUUAUGCAACUUUCUUCAUCACUCGGUACUUCAGUUUACUCUUAUGUAAAUUGGUUAAAAUCGUACCUCCUCCCUUGGAUUGUUGUGAGAAAUAAAUGAUUUAAGGCAUCUAAAAUUCCUAGGACAGUGUCUAGUUCCAAAUAGUUGUUAGAAUCCAACAUUUGUUUCAACAAACAAUUACUCAGUGCCAAACUCUGUACUAGUACAGGAGCUGGCCCUCCAGGGGUCUAGUUGGGGAAACAAACAGAUAUUCAUAGUACACUGUGGUCAUGGCAGUGAUGGGAAUAUGCACGGGGCAUUACGAGUCUGCCUUUUUGUGAAUUAGGAAACAAUUCUAGCCCCAAAGGCACAUGCUAGGCAGUGGAACUUGGGCUGGAAUUCAGGAAUUUAUUUCCUCAGCUAGGUGACACUGUGCAGUGAAAAACCCGCACAACUGUACAUGGUGGCACUGUGGGAUAGCAUCUAACCCACCUUGGGAAGGAAAAGGAACGGGUCAGUGCUUGAUUUGGAGAAAUGAUAGCUGAAUUUAUCCUGAUUAGGGGUUCAUUCAUCAAAAUGCAUAGGGAAAUCUGAAGUGGCAUUCUAGGCAGAGAGAACAGCACAAACAAAAGCAAAAGAGGCAGGAAAGGGCACAUUAUAUGUAGGGAAAUACAGGUAAUUUGGUACAGGUAUGAGACAGGGAAUGGAAAUCACUGCUUUAGGCAGGGGCUAAGUAAUGUAGGGGCAUCCACCAUGUUAACAGCAGCCCACCAUAUCUGAGAGAAGAUGGCCACGUGUCAGUUAUUUAUACUGACUCUGAGUUACUGACUUGAAUGUGAUUUCUUCUUUCCUUCUCUCUUCUACUUCAGGGUUUCAGUGAGUGUUGGUAACUACUGGUGCCCUGAGGACCAAUGAUCUAACAAUUUUGGUCUCCCCUCCUUUCUGGUCAUCAAGAUUAGACUGGGACCCUGUAUCAAGAAGGGGUCUUUCUAAUUUGUCAAGGAACACUAAAUGAAAGGUUGAAUUAUUUCUACCUUCUCUGGUCUACAACUUCCUCUGAAUUGCCAGGGGGAGCCUCACUCAAAUCACUUCAACAAAAGAAGAAAUGGAUACACUCUGAAUAUAGAAAUAAUACUGCCAUAACAUUUUACGUUUCUCACAUGGUGCAAUUCCACUGAAAGUGAAACGUACCAUUUCACUGUAAUGUGGACAUUCUCAAUUGUAACUUGGCUUUGGAGAUUCAACUUGUAUUUAGUGUUUUAUUUAUCAAAUGCCACAGACUUAGUAAAUAUUCGUUUUUUUCAUUUUGCAACCUUGGAAAGCAGAGUGGAUAUAUAUCCAGGGCAACAAAACAUGUUUUGUUUUAUACACAAAACAUGACCCUAGACCUAAGAACUCUUUAAUCCGUCUCAACCUAGAAUUUGGAUCUUGGUGCAAGUCUCUUUCAGUCACCUCACUUAAUUAUUCAAUAGCUGUUUAUUAAGUAUCUAGUAUGGGUCAUGAGAGAGACAUGAUAUGAGUUUCUAAUCUAUUAGAGAAGACCAAUAUGUAAGUGGAUAUUAAACUGAUGGGUGACCCAUAAGCACUAGAACAGAAAUAUGGGCAAAGCGUGUGGAAAUCAGAGAAGGACCAGCUUGGCUGGAAGAGUGGCUGAAGGCUUGAUAUAAGAGGAGGUUUUGAGCUGGCUCUCAGAGGCUGAGUAGGAGUUUCUUAGAGAAUGUGGAGAACAUUUCAGACAGAAGAAAGCACAAGGUUGUGAAAGAGUCUGGUAUUUCAGAAAACAACAAGACAUUCCAUCAGAAUGACUGUGGUGAAGGAUUUGGGAUCAGAGUGAGCCACUGCUGUAGGUCGAAACAGGAUUGUGAUGAGUCUUAGAGUCACAUGGUCAGGUUUGCUUUUUAGAAAGAUAUUUCUGAUGGCAGCGUAAAGGAUGAACUGGAAUGCAGUGCAAGUAGAAGCAGAGCAAUUGCACCCCCAGGUGAACAAUGGUGAUGGCCUAAUCUAAUACCCUGGGGAUGUUUAUAAAGUAGAAUCCUCUGGCUUUGUGACUGAUUGUCUAUGGAAGUGAGAGGGAGAGCUCAGGAAUGUCUCUGAAAUUUCUAACCUGAGAGACUAAAGAGAUGGCGACCCUAUGAACCAAGAUCAAAAAUACCUGAGGCAAAGGAGGUUAGGGAUAAAACAGUUCCAUUUGAGAUGUAUUAACUUUUAGAUGACUUAAGACAAUCCAAUUGGCAGUAUCUAGUUGGUCAUUGAAGAUAUUUGUCUAAGCUUAGAAGAACGAUCAGGGCUGGAAAUAGAGAUAUAUGGGUUGACCAUAUGAAAUCACCAACAUUUGAUCAUGCUUUACCUACAAAAAUGGCAAUUUCAUUGGGAGAAUAUUUCAUAUGGGAAAAUAUACAGAGUGAGAGAGAAGGAUGAGUACCAAGGAUAGGAUGUUAUCUGGGAAACUGACUUCUAAGGGUGGGCAGAGAAAUUGUGAAGAAAAUUGCAAAGAAUAGGUAGAAGAGAUACAGGCGAAAUUCUAGAGGGAGUAAUGGUGUAGAAGCCACAGUAGGAGCAUUUAUCAAAAAGGAGUGGAUGUUCGAGAGCCUUGGAUGCUGCAGAGGAUACAAGCAUGGAGAUGGAAAACAGGACUCUGAAUCUGGCAGUUGGGAGGUGACUGUAAUCUCAUCAGGAAUUUCAGCUGAAUGAUGAGACAAGAACUCAACUAUAAGAGGUCAAAAAGAGAGGGCUGACAGCAAGGUUUUACUUGUUUGUGUGGUUCAUUUUUUAAGGUUUGGGAAGAUUUGCACAUAUUUGUGUAUAAAAAGGAAGAAGCCAGAGAAAAGAAAGUAAUUGAAGAUACAAGAGAGAAGGAAUAAUUCAGAGAGCUGGGUCCUGGAGGGGGCAGAGGGAUAGACUUGAAUGCAUAGGAGGAGAGGUUUGCCCCAGACAUGGACAGAGGUGUAUCACUAAAGUCAGUUUUGUGUCCCUAACCAUUGUGUGUAUUUCCAGCCACACACUCAGAUCACAUUUAUUAGUGCAUUAGUGCUAUUAUGUUGUCAUGGGACAAAAAUCCUUCUCAAAGAGAAAGAGGGCAGAGAUUUUAAUUACCAGAACUUCUUUCCAGAGAUCAGUUCUAAUGCCUUUGAUGUUUUCUUGGACACACCUACUUCCCAGGUUGCAGCAUCAACUAAGCCCUCUCCACUGGCUAUCGAGGGCACGCCCUCACAAGAAGAGCCAUCUCCUUAGGAAGACCUCCAAAACAGUCAGGUUGUUUGGUAAGAACUAAAGGAGGAUGUCAGAAUUCACUCUGGCUGUCAGUCUCUGGGGAGAUGUUUGGGCUUAUCUUCUGGCCCUGGAACUAAUGGUCCCAACUCCUAUCACUGAGAAUAGUUGUGGCAAAGGGCUUUCAUUUGGUUCCAGUUUCUAACAUAACCAAAAGGAGAAAUUCAUCACCCAGGAAAGAUGAUAUUUGCUUAAUGAUGCAUCACAAACAUAGAUGCUGUCUUAGAAUUCCCAGCUAAUCCUGUCCUAGUUCUCAUCACGUUGGGGCCCAAGUGCUAGGAGUAUAUCUAAUCAGAAUAGUAGGAAAAACAGGAUUAAGAACACAAGUCUUCUUAACCAUGGAAGUUAAUAAGUAAAAGACCCAACAGCCCAACCCUCUAACAAGAGAGCCUGCAACCCAGGUAUUAGGUAAGGGACCCAAGUUGCCAGCUGAGCUGCCCAUAGACCUGGGAGCUUGGGAAAUGUGAGCUAUUGGUCACAGAGAAGACCAGAUUAGAGGCCAGGAUAGUUGCACAUAAGCCCUUCAUACAUUACUCACAUUGCACUUACAGGUAUCAUAAUUGUUAACUUAUGGCUCUGUCUCUGGUACAAGGACCCUGUCUGUCAUAAGAGAUGCUCAACAAAUCUGUCUCUCACAAAUGGGCAAGUGAAUGAAUGAAUGAUGUUGCCAAGUAACCAACAAUUUAUCCAAAUAGGAGUUCAGCUUGUCUUAGUGCUUGUGUGGGCAUAAAAGAAAAAUGAGGUAGGUCCUGUGGAAAGUUAUCAUACUACCAGUUCCUGAGCUAAGAUGGUGAAACCAGUUUUUAAAAAACAAGACCACAUGGGACUAGCCCUGUGACCUAGUGGUUGAGUUUGGCACGCUCCACUUCGGCGGCCCGGGUUCAGUUCCUGGGCACGAACCUGCACCACACAUCAGCAGCCAUGUUAUGGCAGCAACCCACAUACAAAAUGUGGGUGACCUAGUGGUUGAGUUUGGCAUGCUCCACUUCAGCGGCCCGGGUUCAGUUCCUGGGCACGGACCUGCACCACUCAUCAGUGGCCAUGCUGUGGCAGCAACUCACAUACAAAAUGUGGGAAGAUUGGCGUAGACGUUAGCUCAGGGUGAAUCUUCCUCAGCGAAAAUUAAAAAAAGAUCACAGAUCUUCAA